This 163-nucleotide unclassified non-coding RNA is filed under the name uncultured Ascomycota. RNAcentral's name for it is "sequence contains ITS1". Lineage: Eukaryota; Fungi; Ascomycota. The record is from RNAcentral.
CAAGAAUCGAGGCUAGCGGUGUCCAUUCCAUGGGCCACGUCUAGUCGCGCUCUCUACCUUGCCUACUGCACCGUUUGUUGCUUCCUGGCGGUGGGAUGCCGUCGCCAGGACCUUUCAAAAGCCAAGUAUAAGCAUUGAACCUCCUGACAUACACUAAAUCGUA